UAACACGUAUCCAACCUGCCGUCUACUCUUGGACAGCCUUCUGAAAGGAAGAUUAAUACAAGAUGGCAUCAUGAGUCCGCAUGUUCACAUGAUUAAAGGUAUUCCGGUAGACGAUGGGGAUGCGUUCCAUUAGAUAGUAGGCGGGGUAACGGCCCACCUAGUCUUCGAUGGAUAGGGGUUCUGAGAGGAAGGUCCCCCACAUUGGAACUGAGACACGGUCCAAACUCCUACGGGAGGCAGCAGUGAGGAAUAUUGGUCAAUGGGCGAGAGCCUGAACCAGCCAAGUAGCGUGAAGGAUGACUGCCCUAUGGGUUGUAAACUUCUUUUAUAAAGGAAUAAAGUUGGGUAUGGAUACCCGUUUGCAUGUACUUUAUGAAUAAGGAUCGGCUAACUCCGUGCCAGCAGCCGCGGUAAUACGGAGGAUCCGAGCGUUAUCCGGAUUUAUUGGGUUUAAAGGGAGCGUAGAUGGAUGUUUAAGUCAGUUGUGAAAGUUUGCGGCUCAACCGUAAAAUUGCAGUUGAUACUGGAUAUCUUGAGUGCAGUUGAGGCAGGCGGAAUUCGUGGUGUAGCGGUGAAAUGCUUAGAUAUCACGAAGAACUCCGAUUGCGAAGGCAGCCUGCUAAGCUGCAACUGACAUUGAGGCUCGAAAGUGUGGGUAUCAAACAGGAUUAGAUACCCUGGUAGUCCACACGGUAAACGAUGAAUACUCGCUGU
This 714-nucleotide ribosomal RNA is filed under the name uncultured bacterium. RNAcentral's name for it is "bacterial SSU rRNA". It matches the Rfam family "Bacterial small subunit ribosomal RNA", at positions 111 to 823 of the family's 1533-position model. The record is from RNAcentral.